AGCUCCAAUAGCGUAUAUUAAAGUUGUUGCAGUUAAAAAGCUCGUAGUUGGAUUUCUGGUAGGAGCGACCAUGUCAGGCUUGAUUGUCUGUGCAAUGUGUUGUCUCCAGCCAUCCUCGUGGAGAGCGUUUGUGGCAUUAACUUGUCGUAGGCGGGACCCGCGUCAUUUACUGUGAAAAAAUUAGAGUGUUUAAAGCAGGCAAUUGGCUUGAAUACAUUAGCAUGGAAUAAUAAGAUAGGACUUUGGUGCUAUUUUGUUGGUUUGCACAUCAAGGUAAUGAUUAACAGAAUCAGUCGGGGAUAUUCGUAUGCAAAUGUCAGAGGUGAAAUUCUUGGAUUUUUUACAGACGAACUACUGCGAAAGCAUUUAUCAAGGAUGUUUUCA
RNAcentral lists this ribosomal RNA (384 nucleotides) under uncultured eukaryote. RNAcentral describes it as "SSU rRNA". It matches the Rfam family "Eukaryotic small subunit ribosomal RNA", at positions 587 to 972 of the family's 1831-position model. The record is from RNAcentral.